UGGCGCCCGAACAGGGACCUGGAAACGAGGGACUCCGUGAAGAAGAGGACACCAAAGGACGGUCGACCACUAACAAAAACAAAAGAAAGUGAUCUCUUCCGAUCACCGCGGGAACCUGCCGCGUCAGAAUCGAAGGUAAGUGACGCUUCCGAAAUGGGACAAGAAUUAAGCCAACAUCGGAUCUAUGUAGGACAANNNNNNNNNNAAGACAGGCGCAGUUCCCGGGGGGUCGUUUUCUUGUCAUAAAACAAU
Molecule: regulatory RNA element, 252 nt
Organism: Chlorocebus sabaeus (green monkey)
Lineage: Eukaryota; Metazoa; Chordata; Mammalia; Primates; Cercopithecidae
Rfam family: Mason-Pfizer monkey virus packaging signal
About the family: The packaging signal is located in the 5' UTR and is required for specific RNA encapsidation.
Source: Rfam